UGGGAAACAGGAAGCAGCUUUUUGUGCUGCUUCAAGAGUCCUUCCUCUAAGGCCCGGGGCCUGAAGGCAGUUUACAAAGGAGGACAGCUGAGAUUCAGAGAGGUUUACUAACUUGCUGAAGAUUACACAGCUCCAAAAUGGUAGAGGAAGGACUCAACUUGAAGGCCUCAGGAUCCUAAUGUCUCAGCCUUCUGGUGAACACAAGCCCAUCAGAACAGAGCUGGGCCUUCACUAGUCUGGACGAUCAGCUGCUCAGAGCCUUGCAUACAGUGGGAGGCUGAGGAAUGUUCUUUCUAGAAGAAUGUGAUGCCUCGUGCAAAGCUGGUGCUCAAAAUAUAUGAUUAUGGAUGGAUAGGUCAACAAAGACAUAAACAGCAACAACCCUGGCUGCUCGGCCCUUUUGCUCUCGUCAUUGGCUUCUUUUUCCAGAGCAUGCAUCUUCUAAUAGGUCUAACCCCAACAGUGAUCAAAUGGGACCUCUGUUCUAUUCCUUUCUUAACUGUAAUCAUGAGUUUCACACGGCUGUCAUUUUACUGCCUGCUAGGAAAAGGGAAUAUGUUUGAAUUUUAUAAGUUUCUGAAUUUCAUAAUUUUUUUAUUUUUAGAGGUGCUCCAGGCUGACUCCAUACCUCCCACUGAAUGACAAUUGUUCUAAAGGUAGACAUUCUUAUUUCAUCAUCAAGAAAAGCACUCUGUAGUGAACAAGGGCACUCACGCAAUUGGAUUCAUGGAGAGAUGUUUGUUUUUCUCCCACUUGUUUACUGUUGCUGGUGUUAGAUCAAGUCUGGCCUUUACUAUUCCAUUAAAAAAUGACCAUUUGUGAUUAGAUAUUUACAAAAAUAUAUUCAGAAUGAUAUAUUUCAGAUAUUACAUUUUUUCUAACAGUUCGUUUUAGUUUUGAAUAGAAGCCUUAAAAUACUUGGCCAGGUGCGGUGGCUCACGCCUGUAAUCCCAGCACUUUGGGAGGCCGAG
Molecule: long non-coding RNA, 971 nt
Filed under: Homo sapiens (human)
Lineage: Eukaryota; Metazoa; Chordata; Mammalia; Primates; Hominidae
Description: HSALNT0325220
Source: RNAcentral